UCGUGACCGGUUUACCACCGGGAUGUUCAUAACCCUUUGUUGUCCGACUCUGUUGCCUCCGGGGCGACCCUGCCUUCGGGCGGGGGCUCCGGGUGGACACUUCAAACUCUUGCGUAACUUUGCAGUCUGAGUAAACUUAAUUAAUAAAUUAAAACUUUUAACAACGGAUCUCUUGGUUCUGGCAUCGAUGAAGAACGCAGCGAAAUGCGAUAAGUAAUGUGAAUUGCAGAAUUCAGUGAAUCAUCGAAUCUUUGAACGCACAUUGCGCCCCCUGGUAUUCCGGGGGGCAUGCCUGUUCGAGCGUCAUUUCACCACUCAAGCCUCGCUUGGUAUUGGGCAACGCGGUCCGCCGCGUGCCUCAAAUCGACCGGCUGGGUCUUCUGUCCCCUAAGCGUUGUGGAAACUAUUCGCUAAAGGGUGUUCGGGAGGCUACGCCGUAAAACAACCCCAUUUCUAAGGUUGACCUCGGAUCAGGUAGGGAUACCCGCUGAACUUAAGCAUAUCAAUAA
Molecule: ribosomal RNA, 509 nt
Filed under: Cladosporium sp. CX-2011a
Lineage: Eukaryota; Fungi; Ascomycota; Dothideomycetes; Cladosporiales; Cladosporiaceae
Description: eukaryotic LSU rRNA
Rfam family: 5.8S ribosomal RNA (bases 153-306)
Source: RNAcentral